Molecule: long non-coding RNA, 4387 nt
Filed under: Sus scrofa (pig)
Lineage: Eukaryota; Metazoa; Chordata; Mammalia; Artiodactyla; Suidae
Description: lncRNA (ENSSSCG00060067773.1)
Source: RNAcentral
UUUUUUUUUUUUUUUUUUUCGCUUUUCAGGGAUGCACUCUUUAAACCCACACUCUUUUAAACACUCUUUAAAAAACACAAAUUUUGCCAUAUCACUUGUCAUCUGAAAAAUGCAAAUUAAAACAAUGAGAUUCCUUUACCCACCUAUUAAAAUGGCCCAAAUCCAGGCUAGGGGUUGAAUGGGAGCUGUAGCUGCCGACCUAUGCAAUGCAAGAUUUGAGCCUCGUCUGCAACCUACACCACAGCUCACGGCAACACCAGAUCCUUAACCCACUGGGUGAGGCCAGGGAUCGAACCUACAUACUCAUGGAUAUUGGUUGGAUUCAUUACCACUGAGCCACAGCAGGAACUCCCUGUUUUCAAUUCCUUCACACAUAUCCAGGGUGGAACUGCUGGGUCCUAUGGCAAUUUUAUGCUUAACUUUUUGAGGAACCCUUCAAAAUAUUUUGAAAAUGUGAACUACUACCAAAAAAAAAAAAAAAAGCCAAAAAGACACUGAAAGCAAAAUGCAAAACUUCAAUGAAAUUAAAGAAGUUAAAAAAAACAAAAAAAGUUUCUCUAUUCUUAUCCCUUCUUUCAUUAGGUUCAAUUUGGGCAGAAAAAAACCCAAACAGUUCACUUGUGCUUAAAAGACCAAGAACACUAGGAAGAGAAAGUUACAUAUGCAAUCCUACCAAAUAAUUAACAAAGACUGCCGUGUCUCCACAAUAUUUUUAACAACAAAAUCACCUCUAAGCCAGAGGUCUGUCAAAACCACCUGGCUGGCUCUAGACUUUUGAACCAAAGAAAACAGCUGAGAGGACCCAGUGCAGGCCCUAAACUGGGAGGCUUUCUGUUAUCAGUAAAGACUGGAUGCUCUGCUCUGGCUCCAUUUGCAAUAAAACCAUUUUUCUCUUUGGAAAGACACAGCCCUCAGUGGGGGAAAAAAAAACAAAAAACAAAAAAAAACAAACACUCUUUAAAAAAAAUAAAUCUUGCCAUACCACUUGUCAUCUGAAAAAUGCAAAUUAAAACAAUGAGAUUCCUUUACCCACCUAUUAAAAUGGCCCAAAUCCAGGACAUUGACAGUAACACCAAAUGCCAGCAAGGAUGUGGGGCACCAGGAACCUCAUUCAUUGCAGGUGGGGAGGUGGAGGACCGAGGACAGCUUGGGGGUCCUUACAAAACUAAACAUACUCUUACCAUCAAUCCAGCAAUCACCCUCCUUGGUGUUCACCCAAAAGAUGUGAAUGCUUAUGUCCACACAAAACCUGCACUUGGAUGUUUAUAACAACUUUAUUGACAACUGCCCAAACUUGGAAGCAAUCAAGAGCAAUAAACUGUGGUACAUCCAGACAAUGGGAAUAACUCAGCGCUGAAAAGAAAUGAGCUACCAAACCAUGAAAAGACAUGGAGGAACUCCGAAUGUCUAUUGCUCAAUGAAAGAAAUCAAUCUGAAAAGGCUACAUCCUGUAUGAUUCCCACUAUAAGAUACAGAGGAAAAGGCAAAACUAUGCAGACAGUAAAAAGAUCAGUGGUUGCCAGGGGUUCGUGGGGCAAGAAGGAUGAACAGGCAGAGCACAGAGGAUUUUCAGGGCAGUGAAAAUACUCUGUAUGAUACCAGAAUGAUGGACGCAUGUCACUAGCAUCUGUCCAAACCCAGAGGAUGGACAACACCAAGUGUGGAUCCUAAGGUAAACUGUGGACUCUGGCAAUCACGAUGUGUCAAGGUAGCUUCACUGACCGUAACUGUACCACUGUGGUGGUGGGGGGGGGGUGUGCAGUAGAUAAUGAGGAAGGUUUAUGCACGUGGUGGGGGCAGGUAAGAAGAAUUCGGGAAAUCUCUGCACUUUCCGCUCAAUAUUGCUGCAAACCAGAAACUGCUCUAAAAAAGUAAUGUCUUCAUUAAAAUAAUUUUCUGUCCAUCCCUUAAAAUGGUAUUUCGAAUCAGUUCUAAACCAUGAGCGCUACUUUGGGAAUGACGUGCUAGAAACGUAGUCUGGGACCAAGGGAGAGAGAAGCGAGCGUGAGAAGCAGCCCAGGGUGCACACGAAGCCUCUCUCUGCAUCUGCUUCCAGCAGCUUUUAAGGGGCUGAUAAUCACCAAUGAGUUUAGCUGGGAGGACAGUGGCAAGACGGGAAUGCAGAGGGAGUGGACCAGAAGAGGACAUAUCGACACCUUUAAAUUAAGUGAAGAAGAAAACAGCUCUCUGAAGGACACAGUAAACGAACUACAAAUGACAAAACUGACUUCUGAUACCAGCAAGACACCGACAUGACAGGGACGGCUGGCAAGUCAGGAAACAGGCAGGCGCGCUGGCAGCAUUCACCGGGCAGGUGUUCAAUUAGGCAGGAAGUGGAUUGACAACAACUCAAUUAAUUCACUGUGCACGCCUGUCCCCGAGAACACAAAGAUACACCUGAAAUACCAGCGGCAGGCCAGAGCUGAACUCCAUGGGCCCAUUUUUGGCAAAAGUGGGGGCUAGCAAAGAUGCAAGAACAAAAGAUAAAAUUAUACUUAGAUUAGCUCUGGGAAGCCCUUUAAAACCAAGGCCAGAAAGGAAACAAAAUGAGAAGGUAGCUUACUAUGAAUCAGAUGUCAUUCCUUUCCCAUGAGUGGCUCCCCCUGGUUGCUUCAGAUACAGGUACCCUGGUGCAUGGGACUGGGGAACGUGAUAAAGACAAGCAGACAUGACUUAAAAACCAACAGCAAAGUGAUGGGAUCACCCCUACUGGUAACAUCCCCUGUGUGCGAGGCUCUGCCAAGCCGAGACUUAAACUCCAGCACACCAGGUAUACCUAUGGUCUGAAUACACUGCAAAGAACAUAGAAAAACAUGAGGAGUCACAGGUGAGGCAAAGGUAAAUACGUUGAGAACAUAAAAUCAAGGAAAGAAAAACAAAGGUUAUCAUAUCAGGACCAACAUCUGGCAGAAGAUACAAGCGCUUAACAGAAAGUGGGACCUCACCCUCCUGGCAGCCAGCAUCACAUCCGUCAAGCCCAACAAAGAAUAAAAUGCUUGAUAUGCAAGGUGAAGGACUACAGCUUGGAGUGUGAAGCAUCUGUACCACUCCUUUGCUUUAGGGAAAAUAAUACUGAGGUUCAGAGAGGUUGCACAACAUAUCUGGGACCACCAAGUGUUAACAACGGCAAAGCCAAGACUAUACUCCUGGUCUUCUGGGAGGCCUUCCACUAACAAUACUGAUGAUGAUGUUGAUGAUGAUGGUGGUGGUGGUGAUGAUGAUGUGAUGAUGGUGAUAAUGAUGAUGAUGUGGUGAUGGUGAUGUGAUGAUGAUGAUGAUGUGAUGAUGAUGAUGAUGAUGAUGUGGUGAUGGUGGUGAUGGAUGAUGUGAUGAUGCUGAUGAUGAUGGUGACAGUGAUGGUGAUGAUAAUGAUGUGAUGAUGAUGGUGAUGAUGAUGAUGUGGUGAUGUGGUGAUGAUGAUGGUGAUGUGAUGAUGGUGAUGUGAUGAUGAUGGUGAUGUGAUGAUGAUGUGGUGAUGAUGAUGAUGAUGUGAUGUGAUGAUGGUGAUGACGAUGAUGUGAUGAUGGUGGUGAUGAUGAUGAUGUGAUGAUGAUGAUGUGAUGAUGGUGACGAUGAUGUGAUGAUGAUGGUGAUGUGAUGAUGAUGAUGAUGGUGACAGUGAUGGUGAUGAUGAUGGCGAUAGCAUCCAUGUGCUGAAGACUUUACAUAUAUUACCCCACUCAAUCCUCAACAAACUACAAGGUAGUAGUACUAUGACUAACCCAUUUCACAGGUGAGGGCAGAGAGAUUAAAUUACUUGCCCAAAGUCACACAGCUUGUUAGAGUCAGAGGCAGAUGUGUGACAACAUGGAUGAAGCUGUAAGGCAUUAUGCUAAGUGAAAUAAGCCGGACACAGAAAAAACAGUGUACAAUCUCACUUAUAUGUGGACUCUAAGAAUGUCAAACGCAUAGAAAAGGAGAGAACAGAGCAGUGGUUGCAGGGGAGGGGGAAGCCGGGGAGACAGCGGUCAGAGAGGAGAGCGUUCCGUUGGAAGAUGAGUAAGUUCAGGGAUGUUAGGUACCACGUGGUGACGACAGUUAACAAUAGCGUAUUCCAGGUUUGAAAUUUGCUGAGAGUAGAUCUUAAGUGUUCUCACCACACACACAAAAAAGUAGCAACUCUGUGAGGUGACAGAUAGGUUAAUUUACUUGAUCGUGAUGAUCAUUUCACAAUGUAUAUGUAAACCGAAUCACCCCAUUGCUUUCCUUAAAAACAUACCCUCUUUAUUUGUUGACUAUGCCUCAAUAAAGCUGGAAAAAAUAAAUAAGAGGAAAAAGAAAGCAGCACAGGCAGGAUGGAAACCUGGGUCUAGCUGAAAUCCAUGUUCUUAACCCUCACGCCUGACGCUUCCAAGCAAGGGAGGAAGUCACAUUCACAACUGUUCUG